ACGCUCGACACCUACGGGGGCAGCAGUGGGGAAUAUUGCACAAUGGGGGAAACCCUGAUGCAGCGACGCCGCGCGGAGGAAGAAGGUCUUCGGAUUGUAAACUCCUGUUGUUGGGGAAAAAGAGGAUGGUACCCAACAAGGAAGUGACGGCUAACUACGUGUCAGCAGCCGCGGUAAUCUGAGCGGGCUGGCAAGGC
Molecule: ribosomal RNA, 197 nt
Filed under: uncultured bacterium
Lineage: Bacteria
Description: partial 16S ribosomal RNA
Rfam family: Bacterial small subunit ribosomal RNA
Source: RNAcentral